This 2033-nucleotide ribosomal RNA is filed under the name candidate division CPR3 bacterium. RNAcentral's name for it is "partial 23S ribosomal RNA". It matches the Rfam family "Bacterial large subunit ribosomal RNA", at positions 904 to 2853 of the family's 2925-position model. The record is from RNAcentral. Lineage: Bacteria; candidate division CPR3.
AGAGCACCGAUUGGAUGUUGGGUCUCGUGCAGAGAUACCACGUCCUGUCGAACUCCGAAUACUAACGUCUGUAUUCCAGGAGUCUGUCAAUGGGAGCUAAGUUCCGUUUGACUACCAGGGAAACAACCCCACCCAUCGGCUAAGGCCCCUAAAUUCUACUUAAGUGGGAAAGGUCGUAGAACUCCUAAGACAUCCAGGAGGUUUGCUUGGAAGCAGCAAUCCUUUAAAGAGUGCGUAACAGCUCACUGGCAGAUGGAGUUCCGCGCCGACAAUGUAACGGGGCUAAAGUAGAUGCCGAAGCCGUGGUCCUGCUUUUUAGCAGGAGGUAGGGGAGCGUUCCGAUAGCGGUGAAGUUUCGCCGUGAGGCGGGAUGGAGCUUUCGGAAGUGUUUAUGCCGGCUUGAGUAGCGAGAUUGCGAUGAAAACUCGCAACGCCGAAUGCUCAAGGUUUCCUCAGCACCGCUAAUCGGCUGAGGGUUAGUCGAGCCUAAGCUGAGGCGUGUGUAAAGCACGCGUAGGCGAUGGACAAGCCGUUAAUAUUCGGCUACCGUUUACAUUCGUUAUUACCGAUGGAAUGACCAGGGUGGAGAAUCAGGAGCUCUGUAUAUCAGAGUGCAAACAGCAAACUAGCUUUCUGUGUUAAAGGCAUAGAAGGCGAUUCCUGUUGUCCACCCUUUGGGUGGAUUAAUAGGAGAAAGUGAGCUGUGAUGCAAAGCCAAAGUCUCCGGACAGAGGCGAUUCCUGAUAUUCACCCUGCGAGAAAAGUUUCUAGGGAGAAUGUAAACGAUCGUACCGCAAACCGACACAGGUGAGCUGGUAGAGUAUACCAAGGCGGACAGGAGAACCUUCGUUAAGGAACUCGGCAAAUUACUGCCGUAACUUCGGGAAAAGGCAGCCCUGUGUUUAUUCGGUUCUUACGAGUAAAUACAGGGGGCACAUAAAUGGCUCGGGCGACUGUUUAACAAAAACACAGGUCCCUGCUCAAAGCGAAAGCUGAGGUAUAGGGGCUGACGCCUGCCCAAUGCCGGUCGAUCAACUGAGGCGGUUAUUCUACUGCAGUGUUUAACUGUAGUAGGAGAAGCUGCCGAAAGAAGUCCCGGUGAAUGGCGGCUGUAACUAUAACGGUCCUAAGGUAGCGAAGUUCCUCGGCGCUUAAUAGGCGUCGCGCAUGAAAGGCGUAACGACUCGGGCACUGUCUUAACGAAGGGCCUGGCGAAAUAGCGGUUGCCGUGAAGACGCGGCUUUACCCACACCAGGACGAAAAGACCCCGUGGAGCUUUACUGGAGCCUGGCGUUGAACUAUGGUUAUAGAUGCAGAGAAUAGGUGGGAGGCUGUGAGUACUGCCUUUCGGGGCAGUAGGAGCCGACAGUGUAAUACCACCCUUCUAUUACUGUAGUUCUAAACUCUAUUAGUUUACCCUAAUAGAGGACAGCGCUUGGUGGCCAGUUUAACUGGGACGGUUUCUUUCGAAAAGGUAACGAAAGAGCCCAAAGGUCUGCUCACUCCGUAUGGAAAUCGGAGGUAGAGCGCAAUGGUAGAUGCAGGCUUUACUGUCAGGCCUACAAGCCGAGCAGUUGCGAAAGCAGGGCAUAGUGAUCCUUCGAUCGCUUGUGAGAGCGUCGUUGCUUAACGGAUAAAAGUUACCCCGGGGAUAACAGGCUAGUCUUCCCUGCGCGUUCACAGCUACGGGAAGGUUCGGCACCUCGAUGUCACCUCGCCGCAUCCUGGAGCUGUAUAAGGUUCCAAGGGUUAUGCUGUUCGCAUAUUAAAGCGGCGCGCUAGGCGGGUUCAGAACGACGUGAGUCAGUUCGGUCUCUAUCCGGUGUGGGCGUUCGAGCUUUGAGAGGAGUCGCUUUCAGUACGAAAGGACCAAAGCGAGCCAACCUCUGGUGUACCAGUUGUCCCAAAAGGGCAUCGCUGGGUAGCCACGUUGGUAUCUGGAUAAGCGCUGAAAGCAUAUAAGCGCGAAGCCAGCCUCAAGAUUAAAGCUCGUUUCCCGAUAAGGGAGAGAGGUCCGGGGAAGAUAACCCCGU